Long non-coding RNA from Prionailurus viverrinus (fishing cat), 1051 nucleotides. RefSeq lists it as uncharacterized. The record is from RefSeq and is a predicted model, not a curated record. The transcript is spliced from 2 exons. NCBI's taxonomy places the organism in Eukaryota, Metazoa, Chordata, Mammalia, Carnivora, Felidae.
AUCCCCACCUGACUCCCGCAGAGAAGUCAUCCUCUGCCCGAAGAAUAACAAGACUAGAGGGCCGAUUUGCCCUUUCGGACUCUCCCGCGCUCCACCGGAAUUCUCCAUCUUUCCAGGCCUAAUACCGGCGCUCCUCCUCCCCACCUUCUCCGCCAGGAAGGCAAUGCGGGCACCUUUGCGCCCUGGGGAGACUGGAGGGGCCUCUCCAUCCUGCCUCCGCCAGCCAGUGCACUGGCCUUCACCUUCCUUGGUCCUGGCGGUUUUCGUGCAGUGUCUCUAGUGGACCCUUCAAGAUUUCAAGCCCGAGGAAGCCUGGCUGGCUCAGUCGGAGGAGUGUGCUACUCUUGAUCUCCCGGGUCGUGAGUUAGAACCCUACGGUGGGUGUAGAUAUUACAAACAAAUAAGCUUUAAAAAAUUAUUUUUUCAAGACGAGCCAGGUGCGGAGGCGACGUGCGGGCCUCCAUCCUCAACAAUGGGCGAUUGGGGCCCACAGAAGACCGUCUGCUCCCUUCUCCGCCCCGCCUCUGGGGAAAGGGAGAUCGGUAGGCCGCUACGCCUUGGGAGCGGCCUCUACCUCCUAGACUUCUGGGCGCCAGCGUCUGGGUUGAGAAGGGAAGUCGAUGCGCAAAGUGGGAAGGGGGCUCCCAGACAGUCACUUCGAUGUGGCGAACACCCGUGUUCAGGGCCGUAUCACUCUCGCCCAGGCAGAGGAUCAGCUGCAAGUGCGUUCCCGUGCAGACACUACUGAUACAUUUUCAGAACCGAAUGACCAUGAAGGAAGACGAACCAUGAGGGGAGAACCACGUCUUGACCUCAAAGCUCUGUGCUUUUCGUUGUGGGAAGUCUCAGGAUUGUUCCUGACAGUUACACUUAAGAGCUCAUUACAGAUCAUUGGGCCGAAUUGGCACUGAGCCGCUAUGUGGGAAAUUGAUGAAAAUUUACAUCUAUAAAAGAGUGGACCAUUUCACAAUAUAUACAUAGAGCAAAUCAUUCUAUUGUUUAUCUGAAACGAAUACAGUGUUAUAUGUCAAUAAAAAAUAGUACAUGUGCA